Molecule: ribosomal RNA, 460 nt
Filed under: uncultured bacterium
Lineage: Bacteria
Description: partial 16S ribosomal RNA
Rfam family: Bacterial small subunit ribosomal RNA
Source: RNAcentral
CCUACGGGAGGCAGCAGUGAGGAAUAUUGGUCAAUGGACGAGAGUCUGAACCAGCCAAGUAGCGUGAAGGAUGACUGCCCUAUGGGUCGUAAACUUCUUUUAUAAAGGAAUAAAACGAGGCACGUGUGCCUUUCUGCAUGUACUUUAUGAAUAAGGAUCGGCUAACUCCGUGCCAGCAGCCGCGGUAAUACGGAGGAUCCGAGCGUUAUCCGGAUUUAUUGGGUUUAAAGGGAGCGUAGAUGGGUUUUUAAGUCAGUUGUGAAAGUUGGCGGCUCAACCGUAGAAUUGCAAUUGAUACUGGCAGUCUUGAGUGCAGUUGAGGUAGGCGGAAUUCGUGGUGUAGCGGUGAAAUGCUUAGAUAUCACGAAGAACCCCGAUUGCGAAGGCAGCUUACUGAGCUGUGACUGACAUUGAUGCUCGAAAGUGUGGGGAUCGAACAGGAUUAGAUACCCCAGUAGUC